UGUGAUGGUUUCUGAGGUGGACACCAGGA
RNAcentral lists this non-coding RNA (29 nucleotides) under Homo sapiens (human). Lineage: Eukaryota; Metazoa; Chordata; Mammalia; Primates; Hominidae. The record is from RNAcentral.